RNAcentral lists this unclassified non-coding RNA (433 nucleotides) under uncultured Mycena. RNAcentral describes it as "sequence contains ITS2". The stretch from base 1 to 154 matches the Rfam family "5.8S ribosomal RNA". Lineage: Eukaryota; Fungi; Basidiomycota; Agaricomycetes; Agaricales; Tricholomataceae. The record is from RNAcentral.
AACUUUUGGCAAUGGAUCUCUUGGCUCUCCCAUCGAUGAAGAACGCAGCGAAAUGCGAUAAGUAAUGUGAAUUGCCGAAUUCAGUGAAUCAUCGAAUCUUUGAACGCACCUUGCGCCCUUUGGUAUUCCGAAGGGCAUGCCUGUUUGAGUGUCAUUAAAUUCUCAACCUUGCUAGCUUUUUCUAGCUUGCGAGGCUUGGAUGUGAGGGUUUUUGCUGGCUUCCUUCAGUUGGAUGGUCUGCUCCCUUUAAAUUCAUUAGUGGAAUCCUUUGUGGACGGUCACUUGGUGUGAUAAUUAUCUACGCCGCCUGACUCUGAAACAAGACUUGCGGGAACCUGCUUAUAAUCGUCUCUUCGGAGACAAUCAUUGACAAUUUGACCUCAAAUCAGGUAGGACUACCCGCUGAACUUAAGCAUAUCAAUAAGCGGAGGCU